CGUGUCUGUGGCGUCAUCUUGACGCGCUUUCCGUGUCAAUAUGGCGGCAUCCAUGGCAUCCCAGGCUGCAACGAGAGGACUUAGGGCAGCCACGCCAAAGCAUCUACUUAUUAACAAACUCAAGUACAACUGGUUAAGUCCUAAAAGAUGGCUGAAUCUUCAAGAGUACCAGAGCAAAAAGUUGAUGCAAGAGUGCGGUGUGGCUGUCCAACGCUUCUUUGUAGCUGACACUGCCUCUGAGGCUUUGGAGGCUGCAAAGAGACUCGAUGCCAAAGAGAUUGUGUUAAAAGCUCAGAUUCUGGCUGGUGGGAGAGGCAAGGGUGUGUUUGACAGUGGCCUCAAAGGUGGAGUGCAUCUAACGAAGGACCCAGCAGUUGUUGGUGAACUGGCCACUAAGAUGCUUGGUUUCAAUCUGACGACCAAGCAGACACCGAAAGACGGAGUGAAAGUAAAAACGGUGAUGGUUGCUGAGGCCUUGGACAUAAGCAGGGAGACUUACUUUGCCAUUCUAAUGGAUCGUUCAUGCAAUGGUCCUGUUAUGGUUGGAAGCCCCCAGGGAGGUAUGGAUAUUGAGGAAGUAGCAGCAAGCACCCCAGAACUCAUCUUUAAGGAAGUCAUAGAUAUAUUUGAUGGUGUACAAGACGACCAGGCAGUUCGCAUGGCAGCUAAUUUGGGCUUCAAAGGAACUCUGCAGAGACAGGCAGCAGAUCAGAUUAAAAGGCUCUAUGAUCUCUUCCUGAAAGUCGACGCCACUCAAGUUGAAGUCAACCCUCUUGGAGAGACUCCUGAAGGACAAGUGGUAUGCUUUGAUGCUAAGAUCAACUUUGACGACAAUGCAGAGUUCCGUCAAAAGGCUGUCUUUGCCAUGGAUGACAUGACUGAGAGUGACCCCACAGAAAUGGAAGCUGCCAAGUGGGAUCUCAAAUAUAUUGGCCUGGAUGGAAACAUUGCCUGCUUUGUUAACGGAGCUGGAUUGGCUAUGGCCACAUGUGACAUCAUUGAUCUUCAUGGGGGAAAGCCAGCCAACUUCCUGGAUCUCGGAGGAGGAGUCAAGGAAAGACAGGUGUAUGAGGCCUUCAAGCUUCUUACUGCAGACCCUAAGGUGGAGGCCAUCCUAGUCAACAUCUUUGGAGGGAUUGUCAACUGUGCCAUUAUUGCCAAUGGUAUCACCAAAGCUUGUCGAGAACUGGAACUAAAGGUGCCGCUGGUGGUCAGGCUUGAAGUGAACCGCAGACGGGCCUGGACAUGUACUUUCUUCAGCUGGGGGACACGUCUGGCAGUGCAGGAUCCCAGCUCACUGGACAAACGUGCAAGAGGCCAAAAGGAUCCUGAGCGAGAGUGGCCUGCCCAUCACGGCCGCAGAUAACCUGGACGACGCUGCCAAGAAAGCGGUGGCCGCCAUCAAGAAGUAGAAAAGUCCAAUCUAUCUUCCUCAAGAACCUCCAGGUGCAAUACAGUGACCUUACAGUAAACGUGAUACCCAGCUUGGAAACUACUUUGGAAGUCAAAGUGAAAAGUAAGAACGGACCUAAUCUAUUAAUCAGGUUUUAAUUUCCAUCACCCCUAUCGAAGAGUCAACUAAAGACGCAAACUUGGGGAUGUGUGGGGCUCAUUGAGCUUCCCUCAUACCUGCCAGGCAAGCCGUAGAAAUAGACUGAAGGGUUCAAUAAUUGCCUUAUUUCAUGCUCUUGGCUGCGUGUCAGAAACCUCUCCGCUGAUGGAUUGGAAAGAGGAAUUUAAGGCUUGUUAAAGCAGCCUUCUCGGGUCCUGAUAUUGUUUAAUUCAGUGUCAAGCUGGAGGUCACAAUGAAAUGUGCACACUGAUUUACUGGGCAAAAUUAGUACCGCUCCAUCAUAUAAAUAUAGAUGAGGGUAAAGAAGCUUUGGAGGUCAGCCUGGAGACGUCUGUCAAGUCGCCUUUUAAGUGCACUAAAUACUUUGUAGGUGGGGCAAAGGGGUGUUGCUUUCAAUAACCCUUAGAGCAAAGGCUGCUCGUCUAAUUAAGCUAUAAUGCCGAGGCACUUUAAUUUUCCUUGGUGGCUUACUUGCUUCAUUUUGCUUUGUGAAAAUUUGUGUUGUGCUGAAGAAACGAUAUGAGAACAAUAAGCUGCUGUGUUGGGGUUCAUACAUCUGUCACAGAGCACUCUAUGAACUCACUGGCUGCCAUUGACUGCACCUGAUGUCCAGUCCAUUUUGACUGGGAGAAGCUGUCUAGCACUGUGAAGGAAUUCAUAUAUUUUCCUUUAUUUACUGUUUGACUGUUUGUAUUACUCUAACACCCCCAAAGCAAAGUAAAUAGAAUUCAAAUCAUAGUUUAAGAAAACAAGUAGAAUAUAUUUGAAGUAUUAGUAGUUGGACUUGGAGUGAUUGGAAUUUGCAGCGCCAAGACAACGGGCAGAUUAGGGCGGUAACAACUACAGGAUGCCUGCUGACUACGGAAGCCCAACGCGUGCGUCAUGUAGCUGACUGAGCGAGAUUGACGUUGAUGGAGCGAGACAAGCAGAGGGUUGGCAAAGGCAUCUAGAAGCCCCCGUCUGGAGCACCAAAUCCCACCAUCAGCUCUUCUAGUAACCAACAAUAGACAGUCAUGAACAAUGAAAGGAUAUCCUCUCCUCACACAAAGAACAUCUGAUAACAGAGGAACCAGCGACUGAGAAAUUGGCACUCAGCACUCACGUGACGCUCUCCUGUCCAAUCCACAACAGACAAUAGCCCUAAACAACGCCCAAACACCUUUCUUUUGGACCAUAGACCGCCUUACCAGAGCCUUUAAAAGACUACAGUGUAUCACAAAAGUGAGUACACACUUCUCAAUCAUUUCUGCAGAUAUUUAAGUAUAUCAUUUCAUGGGACAAC
This is an RNA transcript of Corythoichthys intestinalis (scribbled pipefish), 2855 nucleotides long. It is a transcript of the gene named succinate-CoA ligase GDP-forming subunit beta, with no coding region annotated. The transcript is spliced from 13 exons. The record is from RefSeq and is a predicted model, not a curated record. Lineage: Eukaryota; Metazoa; Chordata; Actinopteri; Syngnathiformes; Syngnathidae.